GAUUUAUGUUUAUGGUCUUCCAGCAGACAAAUUUAUGGGGACGUCUGGGGACCAGGCCUCUGACACAGAAUAAGCAUCAAUCUCUCCUGGAGACUGGUCGCGGGUUUAUUUCUGAAACUUGUGUGGAAUGAGGGAGCAAAUCUAGAGUGUUUAAGAUCUAAUAAUAAUCAUACACUUUAACACAUUCAAAUCAUGAUAUUUCAGGAGACAGCAACCUUGGCUUUGCUUAUAGCUCUAAGCAGGGCUGUUCCCAGAGGAGGACUGUCCUUCUGAGGAAAGAAGACACAGAGCUGGUUACAAUCCCAGGGAGGAUGUCUGCACAGAGAGUCCUCAUCUCUCAGAAAGAAAAAAUAAAAGCAUAAAAGAAAAAAAAAGGGCAGAAAAAAAAAUGGAGGGAAAAAAAGGAGCAACUAAGAGAGUUUGAGACAUAUAAUCUCCAAGGCCAAAAGGAAAGACAUAUAAUUUUCAAGGCCAAAAGGAAAUAAGGCAGGAAUUUGAUGGGUGAUUAAUGGCCGUGCUGGAGCAGUGGGAGUGGUGCUGAUGUCAGAGCCUCCAAGAAUGAUUCCUCUUUGGAAAGAGGAAAAGGCAAGUGGAUCCCAAAAUAGCCAUUUUUUUAAAAUCAAUUUUCUGAAACCUGUGAUAUUCUUCCUGGGUAAACUUGAAGCUCCAGAAAAGAGAUGGUCCCUCCUGGAAGAAGCAGUGAAUGGGCUUCCCUAGUCUCAAAUUCCAUUGGACUUACCCACCUACCAGUCCCAAAGGAUUGGCUGCAUCCCAGAACCUCCCUGGACCCUUUGUUUUCACAGCAGCUCCUAGGAAAGCACAUCACCCAGAGAGCUUCAUCAGUGACGAUCUGAAUGCGUUGUGCACAGAGGAGAUUUGACCAGCGGGAAGUUGGUCAAAUUCAUAACUGAAAUUCUAUGUGUUUUUUCUGUUAUAAUUGCAGUAAAAGAUGUACUUUUGCAGUCAGCCUGGAUCACUCCUGAGAAAGAGAAAUAAAUCCUAUGUGAAUUUCAUUUCUCAAAAGAAGGCAAAAGAGGAGACAUUAUUCACUGGAUGUUGGAGAAGAGAUGAAAAAAAUAAAGGAGAAGGCAGUUUAGCAAUGGGAUGGAGACAAAAAAGAAUCCUGUACUCACAAGAAAUUCAGGGGAUCUUCGUCCUCCUCUCCCCUUCAGAAAGAAGCGAGGCCUGUCUGAUAAGGAACAGGAAGAGUUGGACUCUCAUUGGUCACAAUUCUCCAUGCAGUAGGCUGGAUAAGCACUCGCAGGUUGUCAGCUUGAGGGGAACGUAUCAGAAUGCUGACUUUGGCUGCAGAUCCAAGCUAUGUUCUCCAACAGUUUAGUCGAUAUCUUCCUACCUCGCUGGAGCGUGUCUAAAUUGACACAAAACUUGCAGGCAAGAAAGUUCUGAUUAAGUACUCUCUGUAAACCUCAAGUGUGUCCUAAAAUACAUAGUAGCCAUUGAACUUGAGCAGCUGUGAUUCCUGAAACACACUAUGGACUGGCACUGGGCACAGCAGUCAAUAGUUUGGGGCCAGUGGUGUAAUUUGUUCUGUUAAAGGAGUGUGUAGAUGAGAGACAUUGGUGGUCUGGAGAAAUCAGAGAGUGUUCAGUGGAGACACAGCAAAGAAUGACUGAGCUCAGAGUGGCUGACGCAUCUAGACUUCCACUGUCCAAAAUAAGAGUAAUGUGGUUUGGCUGUGUCCCCACCCAAAUCUCAUCUUGAAUUGUAGUUAUUAUAAACCCCAAGUGUCAGGGGAGGGACCAGAUGGAGAUAACUGAAUAGUGGUGGUGGUUUCUCCCAUCCUACUCCUGUGACAGUGAGUUAGUUCUCACAAGAUCUGAAGGUUUUAUAAGGGGCUUCCCCCUUCCCUGGGCACUCCUUCUUCUCCUUGCUGCCACCAUGUGAAGAAGGACAUGUUUGCUCCUCUUCCAGCAUGAUUGUAAGUUUCCUGAGGCUUCCCCAGCCAUGCUGAACUGUGAGUCAGUUAAACCUCUUUCCUUUAUAAAUUACCCAGGCUCAGGUAAUUAUUAGCAGCAUGAGAAUGAAUUAAGACAGACAGCCACUAGUUGUACAUGGAUAUUAGAAUUCAAAUUCAAAUGUAAAAUAUUAAAUAAAAUAAAAACCUCAGCUGCUCAGUCUCACUGGUCAUAUUUCAACACUCCAUUGCUGCCGGGCACUGGUGGCAAUGCUAUAUUGGGAAGUGCAGAUGUAGAACAUUCCCAACGUCACAGAAAGGUGUAUGGACGGUGUUGUUGUUGAUGGCCAGGGAAGGACACAAGGGGAUGUUCUGGACGUGACCCUGUCACUAUGGUUCCUAAAAGAGCAAAGUCAAAGGGAUGUCCUUUCCUCUGCCAUGCUCCAGGCAGAAACAAAGACACCCAGAUACGCUCCCCACACUCGAAUGUCUUUAACUUCAUUUUACACAUGCAUUCCAUUGAACUCCACUGUUAUACCAUGUCACCCACCUGAAUCCAGAGCAAAUGUCUCAUGAUUCGUAAAAAUCACAUGAGAGAAAACCCCAGAACGCCUGAAUGGGGCUCCCUGUGAAAUCAAGUCUUAGUACAUUGAGUUUACUCCAAAUGUAUUUUGAAAACAGUGGUUUCAAUUGUUGUAAACUACAGAACACAUGGAGAAUCCCUGGAGAAACAGAUGUUAGAUUUUCUGAUAGCAGUAAAACAUCCCCCAAAAAAUCUUAUAAACAUGAACAAACUUGACUAAUAGAGUAUUUGGCAGUUAGGGAGAUAGGAAUGCAUGGUGGAUGUCAUCCGGCUUUCUAAAAUAGUGGCGUGAGUGUCAUUAAAAAAGAAAUAUUCUCUUAAAUAUCUGUUAUUUAGUUUUAAAAUGAAAAAUAUUGAAUAGUUAAACUUUAUUAAGUGUAAAACUGGUUUUUAGAGUGCUUUGGAAUAGUAGCUGUCAGGAAGCAAAACUUGAGAAGUCAUUGAAAGCAGCUGCUCCAUAAAAAAUAAUAAUAAGGGAAAAAAUCAAGAGGCUAAUUUUUAGGACGAGGUUCAUGGUGGAGCCCAUGGUUUCAUAUAAAAGGCUGUUGUUGGUCCUGGGCUCAUAUCCUGGGAAGCUCUAUAGCCACAGGCAGACCCAAGCCUGAUCCCCAAGGACCUGUGUUCUGUAAGUAGUUCAAACCAGACUCUGAGAAACUGGAGGCCCACACACUUGGUGUAGCUGAUCCACCUUCAAGCACUCUCUCUUAUCUCUUGUUGUUUUUUUUUUUUAAUGUGUGUUUAUAUUGGAAUUUUUUGCUAGAAUGUAAGAAGAAAAUGAGAAUAUGGGAUGAGGUAGUGGGAAUGACAAGCAGUUCAGAAGGCCCAAUUUUCUUUCCAAGGUACGGAAGGUACAUUUGGUUCAGUUCUCUAAGUAGUUCGAUUUUUAAAUUUUUUUUUUUUACAUGUAAGGAACUCAGGAGAGGUGGGGUUAAAAGCAAGAACUCACAGAAUAUAGUAGUCAUGUGUUACUGGACUCAGGAGAAAGCAUCUGUAAACAAGGGCUUAGAAAUGAAAGAGAUGGAAUCAUUUUAGCACAAGUUACUUUGACAUCCACCUGUUUCUCUUACACUGAGCCACACUUAGUAUCCAUCACAUUGGAGAAGAGAACCCAGCUUGUGGGCUUCAAGGUCAUUACAGCCCCUUCCUCCUUUUCUCACCUGCUACAUAUGAUUGGUUCAGACUCUGCCAUCAUCCUGAACACGUUCCACUGUGAACUUCCCUCUGUGGCUGUGUUUGACCUUCAAGCCCUGAGUCUCUGGAGAACAGGGCUGUGUGUAAUGCUUUGCCUCCUCAGCAAUCAGCACAUCCACCUUUUGUAGUAGAUUUCAUCAGAACAGACUAAUGAAUGAAGUGGCAUUAGAGGUACAUGAUAUGGUUUGGCUGUGUCCCCACCCAAAUCUCAUCUUGAAUUGUAGUUCCCAUAAUCCCCACAUGUUGUGGAAGGGACUCAGUGGGAGGUAAUUGAAUCAUGGGGGUGGUUACCCCCAUCUUGCUGUUCUCGUGAUAGUGAGUGUGUACUCACAAGAACUGAUGGUUUUAUAAGCAGCUUUUCCUGCUUUUGCUCAGCACUUCUUCCCGCUGCCAUGUGAAGAAGGAUUUGUUUGCCUCCCCUUUGCCAUAAUUGUAAGUUUCCUGAGGCCUCCCCAGCCUUUUGGAACUGGGAGUCAGUUAAACCUCUCUCCUUUAUAAAUUACCCAAUCUCUAGUAUGUCUUUAUUAGCAGUGUGAUAAUGAACUAAUACAGGAUAUUUCUCCCAGACCAAGAAGCCCAGGUAAGAGAGACAUGGUUGCUCAGUCAGCUUGGAGGAUUGCCUUAUGAUGCUGUGCGGGUAUUUACCUUCAGUCCUGGAAUCUUCUUUUUUUUCACAAUCCUACUCAAAAUCAUAACCAACUUGAAGAUGUAAUCAAGUGAUGACUGUGUGGUCAUCCAAUGCUAAGGGCCCAUAACUGCAGUGUAUACUUCAAGGUGUGGCUUCAACCCUGCCUGGGGUAUUUAAAAACAAAGCCAAUUUUCAGUGACUCUGUCAACCAAUAAAUUCUGUAAACAUAUUUAUUAGUCAUCGGCUGUGUGCCUAGAGUGUUUGCUCCAGGUCUCUCAUCCUGCUAGCUGUUAAGUUUCCUCAAGUAUAAAGAGCCAUAAUUUCCAAGGAGAAGUUGGCUGGCUAUUUCUUACAGGAGCACAAAAGAAAUGGCC
This 4691-nucleotide long non-coding RNA is filed under the name Aotus nancymaae (Ma's night monkey). RNAcentral describes it as "lncRNA (ENSANAG00000039186.1)". Lineage: Eukaryota; Metazoa; Chordata; Mammalia; Primates; Aotidae. The record is from RNAcentral.